Molecule: ribosomal RNA, 468 nt
Filed under: uncultured bacterium
Lineage: Bacteria
Description: partial 16S ribosomal RNA
Rfam family: Bacterial small subunit ribosomal RNA
Source: RNAcentral
GACGAACGCUGGCGGCGUGCUUAACACAUGCAAGUCGAACGGAAAGGCCCUGCUUUUGUGGGGUGCUCGAGUGGCGAACGGGUGAGUAACACGUGAGUAACCUGCCCUUGACUUUGGGAUAACUUCAGGAAACUGGGGCUAAUACCGGAUAGGAGCUCCUGCUGCAUGGUGGGGGUUGGAAAGUUUCGGCGGUUGGGGAUGGACUCGCGGCUUAUCAGCUUGUUGGUGGGGUAGUGGCUUACCAAGGCUUUGACGGGUAGCCGGCCUGAGAGGGUGACCGGCCAGAUUGGUACUGAGAUACGGCCCAGACUCCUACGGGAGGCAGCAGUGGGGAAUAUUGCACAAUGGGCGGAAGCCUGAUGCAGCAACGCCGCGUGCGGGAUGACGGCCUUCGGGUUGUAAACCGCUUUCGCCUGUAACGAAGCGUGAGUGACGGUAAUGGGUAAAGAAGCACCGGCUAACUACGUG